Molecule: ribosomal RNA, 506 nt
Filed under: uncultured Glomeromycotina
Lineage: Eukaryota; Fungi; Glomeromycota
Description: SSU rRNA
Rfam family: Eukaryotic small subunit ribosomal RNA
Source: RNAcentral
AGCAGCCGCGGUAAUUCCAGCUCCAAUAGCGUAUAUUAAAGUUGUUGCAGUUAAAAAGCUCGUAGUUGAAUUUCGGGAUCGAAUUGUUGGUCGUGCUUCGGUACGUACUGGCAUUAUUGGUUCCUACCUUCUGAAGAACCGCGAUGUCAUUAAUUUGGUGUCGUGGGGAAUCAGGACUGUUACUUUGAAAAAAUUAGAGUGUUUAAAGCAGGCGCACGCUUGAAUACAUUAGCAUGGAAUAAUGAAAUAGGACGUUUGAUUCUAUUUUGUUGGUUUCUAGGAUCGACGUAAUGAUUAAUAGGGAUAGUUGGGGGCAUUAGUAUUCAAUUGUCAGAGGUGAAAUUCUUGGAUUUAUUGAAGACUAACUACUGCGAAAGCAUUUGCCAAGGAUGUUUUCAUUAAUCAAGAACGAAAGUUAGGGGAUCGAAGACGAUCAGAUACCGUCGUAGUCUUAACCAUAAACUAUGACGACUAGGGAUCGGAUGAUGUUAAUUUUUUAAUGACUC